Chinchilla lanigera (long-tailed chinchilla) is the source of this 5143-nucleotide long non-coding RNA. RefSeq lists it as uncharacterized. Lineage: Eukaryota; Metazoa; Chordata; Mammalia; Rodentia; Chinchillidae. The record is from RefSeq and is a predicted model, not a curated record. The transcript has 8 exons.
CGCAGUAGUGAGGCAGCGGAUCCUCUUCGAUCCAGACUCUCGUUCUGGCACGGAGGUCGGGAGAGCGAACGCUCUGACCCCUAGUGAACCCAUGGCGUCACGUGCCCAGUGGCUGGGGCCGCUGAACAGGACUUUUCUGCACAUCCCUCACCCUAGAGGAACGGCAGAAACCACAUCCCGGAAAGGUAAUGAGCGCUGGCUCUGAGGCUUGGCCUUUUAGGCUGGUAGCGUCUAGGCGCGGGUUCCAUCGCGCGCUGGCCCCUCUGGAGCAAGAGCGGGAAGAUGCCCGGGCAGCGCCACCCCGCGGCCUGCGGAAAGCUUCUACCGGUCCCCACCACCCAAUUAUGGUGACUCUCUUAAAAUACAGACAAACUUGCUGGUGUCCACAAUACUCAUUUUUAAAACAGGCUUGACUACCUCAUCUGUGAGUUGCCAACUCCAGAGUUGUUCCUGACUUGGAGCCAGUGCCAAGAGAUGAACUGAACUCUGCGUUGGAGCUUUUGGUAACUAGAAGUCAGGCAUCGCAAAGGUCCCUUGCAACAAGUGAGGAACAAGCAAAAACUCUCCAGUGUGUUGAUGGUUUGACAACUGGACUCUGCCCAUGCGGACCAAUCACCAAAAAGUGCUGAAAUACAAACUUGGAGCACCCUACAACUGAACUAUAUCCUCAGUCCUUAUUAUUUUUUAUUUUGAGAUAAGCUGUAGUAAAGUGUCUCAGGCUAGGCUGGAACUUUUGAUCCUCAUGUCUCCACAGUGUGUGUCUGACACUUUAUACAAAAUGUUUGCUGAUCCCUGAUGUAGCAUAGAUACUUAGGACAUUGUGAAGAUGUUUGCUUUAACAAAAAGAAAUGAGAAUCCAUGGGAGAAUUCAAGCAGAAGGGUGGUAAAUUCUGACUUCUGUUUUGAAAGGGUCAUUGUUGCUCCAGUGUUGAUAAAUUUUGGGGAUCAAGGGAGAAAUCAGGGGAUUUGCACCAAAGGGCAUAAUACACCCAUGGCCCUCUGUCCUCCAAUGGGUGUUGCCUUGAAGCUAUUGUGGGCCCAUUUGAGAAGAUGAACUGAAACUGUAUUUUGCCUAAUUAGAAAAUCAGUACGGUUGGUCCUCUAUGUCCAUGGGUUCCACACCUGUCAGUUCAACCAACCUGAAAUACGCAGAAGAGAUACUGAGUUGCAGUGAACAGAUUUAAUGUUACAGAUUUUUUUCUUACAAUUUCUACCUAACCAAGAUAGUAUAAAAACUAUAUAUGUAGCAUUUACAUUGUGUUGAGUAUGAUGAAUAAUUAGAGGUGAUUUAAAUAUUACAGGAGCAAAUAUGUAAGUUCUUUGCAAAUACUUUAACCUUCUAUAUGAGACUUGAGCACUGAUGAUUUUGGUAUCACUGAGGGGUCCUGGAACCAACUGCUGUGGAUACUGAAGGGUGACUCUAGACAGAAAGCUCUUGUGAUGGAAUAUGAAGACUGAUGCAGUCACUGUUUAGCCCAGGCUGGCCUCUAACUCAGGGUAAUCCUCCUGCCUCAGCCUCCUUAGUGCUGGGAUUACAGAUGUGAGCCACCACACCUGGCUCUACUAUAUUUCUUUAUUUAAUUUUAUGGCAUAUUUUGAAAAGUGUAUCGGAAUAAGUAAAUUUAUACAUAUAUAUGGCAAACUAUAGUACCUAAAUUGUUUUGUGCUAUCUUUGCAACUGUGCAGUUCUUACCUUGCAUUACCAUUUUAUGUCAUGCUUUCCAUAUGUCUUCUCCUGAAAGAAAAACUACAAUUUCUGCAAUAAAGUAUAUUUAGCAGCAAUCUUUGGCUCUUCUUGAUCCUUCUUCUUCAUGGCUUCAGGCUCUGGUCUCUGUUCUGUUGUGCUCUGUUGACGUUACUGGCUCAGGAAUAUUGGGUUGCCUUCGUGGAAUUGGUUGGAGGCAGAAGUCUAGGAGUCGAAACUAGUUUUGAGGCUUAGCCCCAGAAUUUGGACGCAGACAUGGCAACAGGUUCCCACUGGAGAGAAUCACAAGGUGAUGUUUUGUAGGCUGCAGGCCUAGAGGUGGCAGACUGAUGAAUACUAAGCUGGGUUGAGGUGGUUUAACCCAGUUUGUUGGCAUUAUUCAAAAUUCUCUGAGUUGCUUGCUUGCAUCUGUCAAAAAGGUAUUGGAAAGAGGUGAUUAGAGUGGAUUGACUGCAAUAGAUUGAUCUGUGUUAGGAGAUUAUGCAAGGUAAGCUACACUGGUCCUGCAUGAAGCUAGACGCUGUGGCCUUUGAGAAACUAAUUGAAUUUGGGUCUUACUGUGUUUUAGAAAAAGCAAAGGUAUUAACUUGUCUUUCCAUCAUGGUGCCCAAUCAUUCAGGCAUGGAGAUGGAGACUUUGGUUUAUACUGCUUUAUGGUUUCUGGGAUUUGACUUGAAUCUUCUUGUGCUGUUUCCCCUAACACAGGGCCCCCAGCCACAGUUCAGUUGUUGGCAACGGCUUGGGGUCUUCACUGCUGCUCAAGGUUCCCACAGCCCAAGAGGCACAAAUCCCAGUUCACUCUUCCCCAGUGCGUGACAACCUGCACUGUCUCUCGCGUGUGUAUAUCUGCACAGCUUUAGUAUCUUUAGGGCUCUCCUUGCCAAGUGUUGGUUGAUUUCUCUUGAGCUUCAUGUUGGUAACAGUUGGCUUUUCUUCUGCCUUGACAUUUUGCCCCUAUUGCUUCCCCUCUUCUACCUUUUUGUAGUUUUUUUCCUCUGAUCCUCUUGGCCCUUACUUGCCAUAGUAUUUAGCUUGGCUGGUCCUGCUGGAUGCUUUUCUGAGGUCUGCCAUUCAGAUGCUUAUCUCUGUCCACAGGAAUCCUGUUGUUGGCUACAGGACUUCAAAUAACCACUUUUCCCUCUAACAUUCUCUGGGUUCUUUAGCUGGAUUGGGACCUCAGGAGCUCUUGUGGCUGGUUUGAAGGAUUUAUGCUUGUUCCUCCUCACUUGAUGCAAGGGAUCCUUUGUGACACCUGAGUUUUUCUGCACCUGAUUAACCUCAAUGGCUCCAGUAUCUUUGGCUUUGAAUGGUAUAGGAUGGUUGGAUUGGUCAAGAUCAUCCAAGAAAUGGAAAAGCUAGGGAAAGUAAAUGUGCUCUAUCAGGAUAGCACAUCUGCAAAUCCAGAGCUCCACUUAAUCCCAUUUUCAACUGUCCCUUCUUCUUUAAGACUCAGGGGAGGCUUUCUCCAGUUGACAUUUUUAAUCACACUUCUCCUUAGCUACAGGAUUAAUAAGGGUCAGAACCACAUGUGCAUCAAUGAUUUCUAAGGGAAAUAGCAGUAGAUCUUGAAUGCCUGUCAGGAUUCAGUAUGUAUUCAGAGGUUUGAAAGCUUUGUUUGCAUCUCCUCCUAUUUCUUCUGUUUGUUCCUCACAUGUAGCUGGAGACAAUAGCAGAUUAGUAGAAUUAUGUACUAGAGAAGUUGUUGAAAUGUUCCAAAGCUCAGGUGAUAGGUUACCCUCAAGUAUCUAGAUAUUUCUGCUAUUGCAAAAUGGGGAAUUCUGGAGGAUUUUGGCAGACAAAACAUCUGUUUUGGAGUUUACAGCCCUAGGGACAUCUUUGUCCCUGAGGAAAUCUUCAUCACUACAAAAGAGUCAAGGAAAAAAUUAUUCUAUAAUAAGUGAAUUGAUCCUCCUCCAAACCAGCACACCAAUAGUGAGCAAGGCAUUUCCAAUGGUUCUUUUUAAGGAGCAUGGCCCUGCUUUAGGAGAUAUGAGGUACAAAAGCAAGACAGAUACUGAGCCAUGUGAUUUGGACAGAAUCUCUAACACACUGCAUCUUAAAUCCUGACAAAAAGGAAAAUUAAGCUCUUUCUACCAUGGAAGUGAGAGCUGCAGAGAGCUGGAGGUUCCAAGGGAUGGUGGGUGUGGACAUUUUCUGGAGGAAGCUAGAGGGCCAAGAAAACAUGGGUAAGUGUGACAGAUUCUCACUAUAUUUGAGUAUAAUUUCUCCUAAGGUCCUUGCAGUCAGGAAGUCUCUAAGACUCCAGCAACAAACUAUUCCAUGAGGUCCAGCAAUGAAAUAGUUUCAAAUGGCCUUUAAGUGCUAGAGUGGUUUGGAGUUCUUUCAGUGAACUGCCUUUUCUCUCACCUUGGGCACUGAAGAUCCAAGAGGUCCUGGUUGCAUGUGCUCUCUGGGCCAAAAGCGGCCUCUCCCCACCCUGUGCUGCCCCUGAGCCUGCACUCACCUCAACUCAUACCUAUGAGUCAUAGAAUUGAAUCCUUUCAGACCUAGGAGAUCCUUAAGAACGUAUAACUUUAUCAGGAGGGAGCAAACAGAGUCAGAGAGGUCCCACUGACUUAGUCUAAGUUUUCCCAUGGUUUAAGUUUUAGGACCAGGUUACAGAACCUGUCUCAUUUCCAGGAGUUCUAUGCUCAGCAAAGACUUAAAACUGAAAGAAAAAGAACUUUUAACAUUGGCAUUUUUCUGUUGUUCAUUAGAAGGAAGUAUUGCUAUUGCCAGUGUUAUCUUCCAUUUUUCAUUUUGUGUAUUGUCUGUAUUAUCCUUGAUUAAAAUUAGGACUUUUGGCACCAUGUUUUUGAAAACAGAGUUUUUGUUUUUCCAUUCCCAAGACUUGUCAAGUCAAAGGGCCAUUCUCAGUGGAUAUGGAUCAUGAUGUGUAGGGAAUUGUUAUGUGAGUGAUGCUGUGAACUGGACAAACUAAUAUUCAGUAUGAGCUGCCUUCCUGCCCAUUCUCUAAGUCAAGUGUUCUUGAAAUGAUGGUUAAACAGUAAAACAAAGAAAGCUAAUUAUUUCACUGCUAUGAGGCUUAAUAUAUAAAACUUGUUCCCUGCAGUAACCUCAAGAGCUGCUGAUUGACUCAUGUAUCUUGGCACCAGUAAACCUGCUGGGUGACACUUUGACUGGACUGAAUCCUACCUUCUCGCUCUGUGAGUCCACCUGCUCUGCUAUAGAUUUGGCUCAAUUUCUCCUGUUAAGAAUGGAUAUUUCCACAUGUGAUUCCUGAAGGCAUUUGGAAGAGCCUUUGCACAUUUCCACUUUUGUUUUAAUCUCUUCAAGGACCUUGAACUUGGUCUCAGUUAGACUGCUGGAACAGAAUGAAGCCCAGAUCCCUAAACAGAAGCCAACUGAGGAUACUUGUACAGAUAUGCUGAAACCAGCAAAGUCCCAGCUAAACUCAAUAAAACUGCCGGCCCACAA